CCCUUAGAUGUUCUGGGCCGCACGCGUGCUACACUGAUGCAUUCAACGAGUCUAAAACCUGGUCUGAUAGGGCUGGGUAAUCUUUUGAAAGUGCAUCGUGAUUGGGAUAGAUGAUUGCAAUUCUUCAUCUUCAACGAGGAAUGCCUAGUAAACGCAAGUCAUCAGCUUGCAUUGAUUACGUCCCUGCCCUUUGUACACACCGCCCGUCGCUCCUACCGAUUGGAUGAUCCGGUGAGCUGGCCGGACAGGCGGACUGCAUCUGAUGCUCUUCGUUUGGAAGGCUCGCAAACCUUAUCAUUUAGAGGAAGGAGAAGUCGUAACA
RNAcentral lists this ribosomal RNA (322 nucleotides) under uncultured eukaryote. RNAcentral's name for it is "partial 18S ribosomal RNA". It matches the Rfam family "Eukaryotic small subunit ribosomal RNA", at positions 1470 to 1796 of the family's 1831-position model. The record is from RNAcentral.